Molecule: ribosomal RNA, 253 nt
Filed under: uncultured bacterium
Lineage: Bacteria
Description: partial 16S ribosomal RNA
Rfam family: Bacterial small subunit ribosomal RNA
Source: RNAcentral
UACGUAGGCAGCAAGCGUUGUUCGGAAUUACUGGGCGUAAAGCGUGCGCAGGCGGUUGGGUAAGUCUGAUGUGAAAGCCCCGGGCUCAACCUGGGAAUGGCAUUGGAAACUGGUCAGCUGGAGUGUGGCAGAGGGGGGUGGAAUUCCGCGUGUAGCAGUGAAAUGCGUAGAGAUGCGGAGGAACACCGAUGGCGAAGGCAGCCCCCUGGGCCAACACUGACGCUCAGGCACGAAAGCGUGGGGAGCAAACAGG